Long non-coding RNA from Ictalurus punctatus (channel catfish), 221 nucleotides. RefSeq lists it as uncharacterized. NCBI's taxonomy places the organism in Eukaryota, Metazoa, Chordata, Actinopteri, Siluriformes, Ictaluridae. The record is from RefSeq and is a predicted model, not a curated record. The transcript is spliced from 2 exons.
ACACGCACCGGGGGUAAGACAGUACUCCAGCUGGAGGGAUGAGCUGUCCGCCUCGCUGCCGCUGGUGCUGGAGAUCGUGUGAUUUAGCAGGUUGUCUCCAUCACCCUCCAGUCGGUCCUCACUAUGUGUACUGGUAAGGGUACUGGUUGAGUUUCCUCUGGCUGAGGGGGUACGGCUGCCCGGGGAGCUGCUGCUGUUGGCAGUGCGAGGCGGCCGAUUGG